Molecule: ribosomal RNA, 1020 nt
Filed under: uncultured archaeon
Lineage: Archaea
Description: bacterial SSU rRNA
Rfam family: Archaeal small subunit ribosomal RNA
Source: RNAcentral
GGUCACUGCUAUUGGGAUUCGACUAAGCCAUGCGAGUCGAGAGGGUUCGGCCCUCGGCUGACGGCUCAGUGACACGUGGAUAAUCUGCCCUUAGGUGGAAGAUAAUCUCGGGAAACUGAGGAUAAUACUCCAUAGAUCUAGGAUGCUGGAAUGCAUUUAGAUUGAAAGCUCCGGCGCCUAAGGAUGAAUCUGCGGACUAUCAGGUUGUAGUCAGGGUAAAGGCCUGACUAGCCUACGACGGAUACGGGUUGUGAGAGCAAUAACCCGGAGACGAUAUCUGAGACACGAUAUCGGGCCCUGCGGGGCGCAGCAGGCGCGAAAACUUCACACUGUGCGAAAGCGCGAUGAGGGAAUCCCAGGUGGGUGCUCGUAAGAGUAAACUGUUUCUUUGUUUAAAACGCAGAGAGAGUAAGGGCUGGGUAAGACGGGUGCCAGCCGCCGCGGUAAUACCUGCAGCUCAAGUGGUGAUCAUUAUUAUUGGGCCUAAAACGUCCGUAGCCGGUUUAGUAAAUGCCUGGGUAAAUUGUGUAGCUUAACUAUACGACUUCCGGGUAGACUGCUGAACUUGAGACCGGGAGAGGCUAGAGGUACUCCUAGGGUAGAGGUGAAAUUCUGUAAUCCUAGGGGGACCACCAGUGGCGAAGGCGUCUAGCUAGAACGGGUCUGACGGUGAGGGACGAAGCCCUGGGGCACAAACCGGAUUAGAUACCCGGGUAGUCCAGGGUGUAAACGCUGCUUGCUUGAUGUUAGUUGGGCUUCGAGCCCAACUAGUGUCGGAGAGAAGUUGUUAAGCAAGCUGCCUGGGGAGUACGGUCGCAAGGCUGAAACUUAAAGGAAUUGGCGGGGGAGCACAGCAACGGGUGGAGCGUGCGGUUUAAUUGGAUUCAACGCCGGAAAACUCACCGGGGGCGACGGUUACAUGAAGGUCAAGCUGAUGACUUUACCUGAUUUUCCGAGAGGUGGUGCAUGGCCGUCGUCAGUUCGUACCGUAAGGCGUUCUGUCACCCUCAGAUAACGAAC